GCUGGGCAUGGUGGCGCGUGCCUGUAAUCCCAGCUACUUGGGAGGCUGAGGCAGGAGAAUGACUUGAACCCGAGAGGCAGAGGUUGCAGUGAGCUGAGAUCACGCCACUGCACUCCAGCCUGGGUGACAGAGUGAGACUCUGUCUCAA
This is an unclassified non-coding RNA of Macaca fascicularis (crab-eating macaque), 148 nucleotides long. It matches the Rfam family "Metazoan signal recognition particle RNA". From Rfam's summary of the family: The signal recognition particle (SRP) is a universally conserved ribonucleoprotein. It is involved in the co-translational targeting of proteins to membranes. The eukaryotic SRP consists of a 300-nucleotide 7S RNA and six proteins: SRPs 72, 68, 54, 19, 14, and 9. Lineage: Eukaryota; Metazoa; Chordata; Mammalia; Primates; Cercopithecidae. The record is from Ensembl.